RNAcentral lists this ribosomal RNA (656 nucleotides) under Trentepohlia annulata. RNAcentral describes it as "bacterial LSU rRNA". It matches the Rfam family "Bacterial large subunit ribosomal RNA", at positions 1038 to 1641 of the family's 2925-position model. The record is from RNAcentral. Lineage: Eukaryota; Viridiplantae; Chlorophyta; Ulvophyceae; Trentepohliales; Trentepohliaceae.
GUUAAGGCCCCUAAAUGAUUUGCUAAGUGUUAAAGGAAGUGAAAACGCAAAGAUAGCCAGGAAGUUUGCCUGGAAGCAGCCAUCUUUUAAAGAGUGCGUAAUAGCUCACUGGUUUAGUAUUUUUGCGCCUAAAAUGAAAUGGGACUAAGCAAUCUGCCGAAACUGUGGGAGAAAAAAUCUCGGUAGGAGAGCGUUGUGCAUCGGGAGAAAUACUUUGGCGAUGAUCUAUGGACGAUGCACAAGUGAUAAUGUCGGCUUGAGUAACGAAAAUGCCGGUAAGAAUCCGGCACCCCGAAAAUCCAAGGGUUUCUUCACAAGGUUCGUCCAUGAAGAGUGAGUCAGCACCUAAGGUGAGGCUGAAAAGCGUAAUCGAUUGGAAAAAAAGAGCCCUUGCUCGGUACCCCGUAAAAAAGGGAUCAAGAAACCAGUAAGGAGUUUCUUUACUAAACUCAUCAUGAAGCACAAUCUCUUUGCCAAAGUAUGCACCACGUGCAUACUUUGAAGUGAGGUUGUGCGACAACGUUUAACAGAGGAACGAAUACUUACCCUAGCGAUUUUAGGCAUUGAGUAGGGUUACUGGAUCAAAUCAAAUCUUCGUUUUUUCAUUUGGUUGGAAAAGGUAAUAAGAAAAAUGUUUACGUAAGUAAACUAAACAG